GGAAGAUGCCGCUGAAUGGACGGCAAGCGGUCUUGAAAACCGUGGUACGGCAGCGAUGUCGUAGGGGUUCGAUUCCUCCAUCUUCCU
This 87-nucleotide transfer RNA is filed under the name Symploca sp. SIO1B1. RNAcentral describes it as "tRNA-Ser". It matches the Rfam family "tRNA". From Rfam's summary of the family: Transfer RNA (tRNA) molecules are approximately 80 nucleotides in length. Their secondary structure includes four short double-helical elements and three loops (D, anti-codon, and T loops). Further hydrogen bonds mediate the characteristic L-shaped molecular structure. tRNAs have two regions of fundamental functional importance: the anti-codon, which is responsible for specific mRNA codon recognition, and the 3' end, to which the tRNAs corresponding amino acid is attached (by aminoacyl-tRNA synthetases). tRNAs cope with the degeneracy of the genetic code in two manners: having more than one tRNA (with a specific anti-codon) for a particular amino acid; and 'wobble' base-pairing, i.e. permitting non-standard base-pairing at the 3rd anti-codon position. RNAcentral also lists the same sequence under 8 other names. The record is from RNAcentral. Lineage: Bacteria; Bacillati; Cyanobacteriota; Cyanophyceae; Coleofasciculales; Coleofasciculaceae.